GAUGAAGAACGUAGCGAAAUGCGAUACUUGGAGUGAAUUGCAGAAUCCCGUGAACCAUCGAGUCUUUGAACGCAAGUUGCGCCCGAAGCCAUCAGGUUGAGGGCACGUCUGCCUGGGCGUCACAUAUCGUUGCCCAAUGCCUAUUGCAGUGCAAUAGGAAUUUCUAGGGCGAAUGAUGGCUUCCCGUGAGCGUUGUUGCCUCGCGGUUGGUUGAAAAUCGAGUCCUUGGUAGGGUGUGCCAUGGUAGAUGGUGGUCGAGUUAGAACGAUACCGAUCAUGUGCAUGCUCCCCAAAAUAUGGCCUCUAUGACCCACACGCGUCUUUUGACGCUCAUGACGAGACCUCAGGUCAGGCGGGGCUACCCGCUGAAUUUAAGCAUAUCAAUAAGCGGAGGA
Molecule: unclassified non-coding RNA, 395 nt
Filed under: soil metagenome
Description: partial contains 5.8S ribosomal RNA, internal transcribed spacer 2, and large subunit ribosomal RNA
Rfam family: 5.8S ribosomal RNA (bases 1-122)
Source: RNAcentral